UAAUUUUGUUACACAGCAAUUGACACUUCUAUAUUCUUUCCCCUAACUCAUGUGCCAGGUAGUCGCUCCUCUCCUACCCAGAAGGCCUGUGGAUUUCAGUCUCAAGUGGCAGAAGCAGGGGAGGUUUGGACUUCAGAUGACCCUAGGGACAGCAGAAGCCAAGGGAAACAGCUUCCUGAAAACAGAAUUAGGUGAAAGGCCUCAUGGUAAAGGAGACCCCUCCUCGGCACCUUCCUCUGCCUCUGUUCCCAGGAUGCUGGUGCCAGGCUCAUUCCCCAUGAGACAGGAGACUGCAGAUGCACUGUCUGGGCAGCUCACUCAAGAGACGCUGGCAGGAAUCUACUAGAAGAUGUGCUCCACCAAGAAGGGGUAAACCAAGAAAGAAAAUGACAUGACAGCCACACGACAGAGACUCAAACCCAAGAGAGAAGCCAAGAAAGGUCCUAGGAGGAUGGCCAAGGGCCCUCCCAAGAUGCCAACCAGGCAGCAGGCCACAGGAGCAGCAGCCAGCCCGGAUAGAACAGUGAUCACUGAAGCAUCAGGAUUUGUGGGAAUUCACAAGUAACAUGAUGAUGGCAGGAGGCAGCCCUGCCUCCGAUGAUGUGCUGAAAAUAGCUGAAGAUGGUAAAACCAAGAGCAAAGCAACCCGGCUCACAGUAGAAAUUUCAUCUCCUCCUCAGCCUCUCACAGAGAAGCCAGGAAGAGUCUGAUUGGCUUGCA
This is a long non-coding RNA of Piliocolobus tephrosceles (Ugandan red Colobus), 720 nucleotides long. RefSeq lists it as uncharacterized. The transcript is spliced from 3 exons. The record is from RefSeq and is a predicted model, not a curated record. NCBI's taxonomy places the organism in Eukaryota, Metazoa, Chordata, Mammalia, Primates, Cercopithecidae.